GCCGGAAUAGCUCAGUUGGUAGAGCAGCUGUUUCGUAAACAGCAGGUCGGAGGUUCAAUUCCUCUUUCCGGCACCA
RNAcentral lists this transfer RNA (76 nucleotides) under Gammaproteobacteria bacterium. Its description in RNAcentral is "tRNA-Thr". It matches the Rfam family "tRNA". From Rfam's summary of the family: Transfer RNA (tRNA) molecules are approximately 80 nucleotides in length. Their secondary structure includes four short double-helical elements and three loops (D, anti-codon, and T loops). Further hydrogen bonds mediate the characteristic L-shaped molecular structure. tRNAs have two regions of fundamental functional importance: the anti-codon, which is responsible for specific mRNA codon recognition, and the 3' end, to which the tRNAs corresponding amino acid is attached (by aminoacyl-tRNA synthetases). tRNAs cope with the degeneracy of the genetic code in two manners: having more than one tRNA (with a specific anti-codon) for a particular amino acid; and 'wobble' base-pairing, i.e. permitting non-standard base-pairing at the 3rd anti-codon position. Lineage: Bacteria; Pseudomonadati; Pseudomonadota; Gammaproteobacteria. The record is from RNAcentral.